This 503-nucleotide ribosomal RNA is filed under the name uncultured bacterium. RNAcentral describes it as "partial 16S ribosomal RNA". It matches the Rfam family "Bacterial small subunit ribosomal RNA", at positions 30 to 523 of the family's 1533-position model. The record is from RNAcentral.
UUUGAACGCUGGCGGCAGGCUUAACACAUGCAAGUCGAGCGGGGUGAUGGUGCUUGCACUAUCACUUAGCGGCGGACGGGUGAGUAAUGCUUAGGAAUCUGCCUAUUAGUGGGGGACAACAUCUCGAAAGGGAUGCUAAUACCGCAUACGUCCUACGGGAGAAAGCAGGGGAUCACUUGUGACCUUGCGCUAAUAGAUGAGCCUAAGUCGGAUUAGCUAGUUGGUGGGGUAAAGGCCUACCAAGGCGACGAUCUGUAGCGGGUCUGAGAGGAUGAUCCGCCACACUGGGACUGAGACACGGGCCAGACUCCUACGGGAUGCAGCAGUGGGGAAUAUUGGACAAUGGGGGGAACCCUGAUCCAGCCAUGCCGCGUGUGUGAAGAAGGCCUUAUGGUUGUAAAGCACUUUAAGCGAGGAGGAGGCUCUUUUGGUUAAUACCCAAGAUGAGUGGACGUUACUCGCAGAAUAAGCACCGGCUAACUCUGUGCCAGCCGCCGCAGUAA